Molecule: ribosomal RNA, 205 nt
Filed under: uncultured bacterium
Lineage: Bacteria
Description: partial 16S ribosomal RNA
Rfam family: Bacterial small subunit ribosomal RNA
Source: RNAcentral
AGCGCAGGUGGUUUAUUAAGUCUGGUGUAAAAGGCAGUGGCUCAACCAUUGUAUGCAUUGGAAACUGGUAGACUUGAGUGCAGGAGAGGAGAGUGGAAUUCCAUGUGUAGCGGUGAAAUGCGUAGAUAUAUGGAGGAACACCGGUGGCGAAAGCGGCUCUCUGGCCUGUAACUGACACUGAGGCUCGAAAGCGUGGGAGCGAACA